This 72-nucleotide transfer RNA is filed under the name Calonectria ilicicola. RNAcentral describes it as "tRNA-Ala". It matches the Rfam family "tRNA". From Rfam's summary of the family: Transfer RNA (tRNA) molecules are approximately 80 nucleotides in length. Their secondary structure includes four short double-helical elements and three loops (D, anti-codon, and T loops). Further hydrogen bonds mediate the characteristic L-shaped molecular structure. tRNAs have two regions of fundamental functional importance: the anti-codon, which is responsible for specific mRNA codon recognition, and the 3' end, to which the tRNAs corresponding amino acid is attached (by aminoacyl-tRNA synthetases). tRNAs cope with the degeneracy of the genetic code in two manners: having more than one tRNA (with a specific anti-codon) for a particular amino acid; and 'wobble' base-pairing, i.e. permitting non-standard base-pairing at the 3rd anti-codon position. The record is from RNAcentral. Lineage: Eukaryota; Fungi; Ascomycota; Sordariomycetes; Hypocreales; Nectriaceae.
GGGGAUAUAGUUUAACUGGUAAAACUGUAAUUUUGCAUAUUAUUAAUUCGGGAUCGAGUCCUGAUAUCUCCA